Molecule: ribosomal RNA, 253 nt
Filed under: uncultured bacterium
Lineage: Bacteria
Description: partial 16S ribosomal RNA
Rfam family: Bacterial small subunit ribosomal RNA
Source: RNAcentral
UACGGAGGGGGCUAGCGUUGUUCGGAAUUACUGGGCGUAAAGCGCGCGUAGGCGGAUCUGCAAGUCGGGGGUGAAAUCCCGAGGCUCAACCUCGGAACUGCCUUCGAUACUGCGGGUCUCGAGUCCGGGAGAGGUGAGUGGAAUUCCUAGUGUAGAGGUGAAAUUCGUAGAUAUUAGGAAGAACACCGGUGGCGAAGGCGGCCUGCUGGGCAGUAGCUGACACUGAGGCGCGACAGCGUGGGGAGCAAACAGG